Molecule: RNA transcript, 3178 nt
Organism: Equus quagga
Lineage: Eukaryota; Metazoa; Chordata; Mammalia; Perissodactyla; Equidae
Gene name: cytochrome P450 4F11-like
Exons: 3
Source: RefSeq, a predicted model, not a curated record
UCUUGUCUGGAAUUCUGGCUCUUCUGGGUAGCUUUGGGGCCAUUGCUUCUCCUUUCUGAGCCUCGGUUUCCUCAGCUGUAAACUGGGGAUAAUGAGCCUCACUUUGCAGGGUGGUCAACAUGACGUAAUAGACUCAUGUCCCUGGCACAUAGUAGGUGCUCAUGUGCUAGUUUCUAUGUUUCCCUCUCAGAAGCCUUGGAAUCCUGAGACACUGUUGACGAUAGUGAUGAAUAUUGCAUGUUGAGUCCUGAAUAUGGAGUAACAAACCACUUUUCAAGAUAUGAGGUUUCAUUAUUGCUAACAAGUCUACGAGUCAGUGAGCUUGUUCUUCUGGAUGUGGAUGGGGUCACUCACGUAUCUGUGAUCAGUUGUGGGUCACGUGCUUUGCUGUUCUGAGCUGAGUCCUCUCAUGUGUUUGGGGCUUGGUUGGCUGCAGGUUGGUCUAGGAUGCUCUCAGCUGGGACAAUCCUCGCAUGUGGUUCCCUCCCUCCAGAAGGCAUUUCAGGCUGUUCACACGGCAGAGGCUGGGUUCCGAGAGGCUGAGAGGAAGCUGCAAUGCCUCUUGAGACCUAGGUUUAGGAUGAUCACUCGUCAUUUUUACCACAUUGGCCAAAGCAAGUCCAAAGGCCAGCCCAGAAUGAAAGGGUGGUGAAAUGGGCUCCUCCUGCUCAUGGAAGUUUCUAGGCACGUUGCAAAGGGUGGUUGUAGGGAGGUGAAGCAUUGGACGUGGGGGUUUUGUGAAGUGCCUGGGACUUUUCCAUACUUGCAAGCUGACAAGUAAGCUCAUUACUGUUUUGUGGAUCCUGCCAGAAGACACGAGACUCCUGAAUCACAGACAAAGGACAGUUUACUCUUACUUUACAACUCAUGGCUCAGCAAGUGGCAUGUGCCUAUUGUUAGUUUGCACUCUUUCUCCAAAUCACAAAAUCCCAUGAGGAUGGCACAGGUGGGCUUCCAUGGAUGCCUGCUCAUGCAGUGGGUUUUAAUGCACAAGAGGAGCACUUGAUUUAGGGACUGUGUGAGUUUCAUAGCAAUUGGAAGCAAGCCUGAUAUUUGCCCAGGGGGAGACAUUUCCUCUUCCCUCCACAUUGUUUGCUGCAAACACAACUCUGAGAAAUGGCCCAGGUAAAGAACAUCAGGGCCUUGUGUUUUUGGCAUACCCAGCAAGAAUGUGCAGGGUGCUCAGGGCCCCUGGAGGACUACCGCUACCAACAUAGGGGACAGUCUCCUAGACAAUUUAUAACAAUAAGAUGAUGAAAGCUAGCAUUUAUUGAGCACAUUCUAUAUGCCAGAGGUUACAUGGCAAUUCCAUGAUGUGUGCUGUCUAAUUUAAUUUUCACGGCCCUGUGAGGUGGAGAUUCUUUUUCCCCAUUGCAGAUGGUGAAACUGAGGCUGAGAGAGGUUAGGGAGUUGCUCGAGUUCACACAGACGGCCAGUGAGCUAACAAGUGGAGCUGGGAUUCCAACCUGGUUUGUCUGACAACAAAGCAUGUUAUCAGACCUGUCACUGAGGAUUUGACAAGUGGAGCCCAGAGGAAGGCAGUGAGCUGGCCAAGGGCACACAGAGUGUAGCAGGCAGAGCCAGGACUGGAACACAGGUCUCCUGACCCCCAGCUGUGGGGUCUUCAUGUCCUCACAGUAACAGUGUCUACUAGCACUCAUGCCUGGUCCUCCAGGGGACAGGUGCCUGGGGCCAAGAGGCCGGGUCAGGGGAGCCCAUCCUGGUGUUGGGUUGGGGCGGGGCUCAGGGGAGGCCCAUCCCAGCCCCACCUCUGCCCCUUCUGUGUCCAGGCCAAGUGGAAGCGCCUGGCCUCAGAGGGAAGUGCCCAUCUGGACAUGUUUGAGCACAUCAGCCUCAUGACCCUCGACAGUCUGCAGAAAUGUGUCUUCAGUUUCGACAGCAACUGCGAGGAGAAGUCUAGUGAAUAUAUUUCUUCCAUCUUGGAGCUCAGUGCCCUUGUGACAAAGCAGAAUGUGCAGAUCUUCCUGUAUGGACUCCCUGUACCACCUCACCCCUGACGGACGGUGCUUCCAUAGGGCCUGUCGCCUGGUGCACGACUUCACAGAUGCCAUCAUCCAGGAGUGGCACUGCACCCUCCCCGAUCAGGGUCUUGAUGACCUCCUCAAGACCAAAGCUAAGGUCAAGACUUUGGACUUCAUCAAUGUGCUCCUGCUGGCCAAGGAUGAAGACGGGAAGGAACUGUCAGAUGAGGACAUCUGAGCUGAAGCUGAAAGCUUUAUGUUUGUGGGUGAGAAUACAGAAGGGGAAGGGGUCUCUCUAUCCCAGGGAUUUGGUUGGUGGACCCGGGACCAGCCCAUAGUCCCACAUCCUCCCUGAGGGCAUUAAUCAGGGUGCUGAAGCCGCCCAGAGACCCAAAGCUGUCUGGCUGCCUCUCAGGACAUGACACCACAGCCAGCGGCCUCUCCUGGGGCCUGUACAACCUUGCGAGGCACCCAGAGCACCAGGAGUGCUGCCGGCAGGAGGUGCGAGAGCUCCUGAGGGACCACGAGCCUAAAGAGAUUGAGUGGUGAGUGCAGGUGCACAUGGUCUGUUCCUGAAACCCUCUCCUUGGCUCUGCUCCCCAGCUGGGAGUGGGAAGGUCUUAUCGUCCAUUCUGUGAUUUUUGCUUAGUGGAAAUAGGAGCAGAGCCCAGAGGUGGGGUCAGGUACCCAACCCGGGUCGUUAAGGACAGGGAAAAGCCUUCUGAGUAGAAGAUCUGGGUGGCUGAGUGAACUAGUGACAAUGUGUGAGGGCAGAUCAUGCCCCUCAGGACAUGUUCAGAGAGUGAACCUCCCUUCUGCUCCCUUACUUUUCUCUCUGAAAUCACAUUCUUUCAAACAUCUGCACCGCCUGGAUGUUUGCUGGGCUCCUAACUCCUAUCAUAUUGUUCAGUCCAGGGUUCACAGGGGACACCUGAGGAUUGAAGUCACUCAACUCUUGUCCAUGAACACCUCCACCUUCAUCCAUCCAGUCCCCUUUUGGCAAACACUGCCACACUGCCUUCCCAUCCCCAAUUCUGUGCCGUCCCCAACUCUUCCCAGCCGUAUCCUGUGUCCUGGAGACCUGGGAAGCACCCAGGCCUGGCCUGUGCCUUCCAGGAGCUCCCAGCCUGGUGGGGGAUCGUCCCAGGUCAGGAAACUCCCAGUCCACAUGGGCAGGGCCUGUGUUCAGAGCAGGA